RNAcentral lists this long non-coding RNA (1052 nucleotides) under Bos indicus x Bos taurus (hybrid cattle). RNAcentral's name for it is "lncRNA (ENSBIXG00005000202.1)". The record is from RNAcentral. Lineage: Eukaryota; Metazoa; Chordata; Mammalia; Artiodactyla; Bovidae.
AUACAUUUUUGAAACUUUAAUGAUACUUAAUGGGAUACCUUUUUUAUUCUUUUCUGGAGAGAAAUGCCAAAUGAUGAGUGAAAAAAGAGGGAAUCCUGAUUUUAUUUCACUGUUACGGUAUACUUUGUUUAAAGAGAUCAGGGAAGCCCACAGUAGUGAAAAUAAAAUACUUUUCUCAUGUUGCCAAUACUUCCCUACAGAAUUGAAGAUGUCACCCUUGGCUUGUAUGUUAAUUUCAGCCUGUCAACCAUGUCUGGGAUUCAGACACCUGCGAGAAUUGAGGCUGGUGCUCACGGCUGGAGCAGCUCUAGAAGAUGAAUAAAAGAAUGGCAGUAAUCCCCGCCAAGGUGAAUGGAAGCCGUCUUUGACCACAUGCAGAUGAUGAGAGACUACAGUGUGAAAUAUCUGUGCUUAAUAAUGAUAACUAGGAGUAUUUGUUGGCAAAUGCAAGCCUCAGGAUGGCAGAAGGGCUGCAAAGUAUAGAGUUGUGGUCCAAAGUGUGCUGCAGUUUUAAACAAAGAAUGGAAACCUAUGUCAUGAUUCUCUUACUUCCCAUUUUACCCACUAAGUAUAAUAUUUGCUAAUCAUCUAAGGGUGACCAAUUGGUUUUCUCCAACUCUUCCAAGCCAUCUGCUGCAGUAAAAUGCACAAAGUGGACCAUGAAAACAGCAGAAGUUUCCAUUUCAAUGUGUAUCCAUCUCCAAUGUCCUUCUCAAGCAUUUUACUUCACAGAAAACUACGUCUAUUAAUACACUAGUAUAUCAUUUAAAGUUUCUGAAUUCUUGAUCUCUUAAUCAUGAUCUGGAUUUAGUUAUUAAUAUAUCAUAACAAAAAUGGAUACCAUAUACUGAGUACUUAUUGUAAAUAUUGGGUCAAAUCCUUACAAAUAUAUUUCUUGUUUAAUUCUAUAUGCAACUCAUGAGACAAGUUCCAGUUUUAUUCCCAUUUUACAUAAGGAACUGAUAGAGUUCUCAGUGAUUUGUUACUUUAACAUUACAUGUUUAACUAUUAUGCUGUACUUCCCCAAAUAAACCAUGCUCUCUGGCUACCCA